Gorilla gorilla gorilla (western lowland gorilla) is the source of this 4742-nucleotide long non-coding RNA. RefSeq lists it as uncharacterized. The transcript is spliced from 3 exons. Lineage: Eukaryota; Metazoa; Chordata; Mammalia; Primates; Hominidae. The record is from RefSeq and is a predicted model, not a curated record.
AUAUAUAAAGCAUGCUGAGGUGGCGUCAGGUCAUUUCAGGCUCUUUUGUGUCCAGCAGAGGAGCAGCUCUGUGUCCAGCUUAGAGGACUGGAAGAAGCCACAACCUUCCGCCUGCUGGAGGGUGGAGGAUGGAUGGAGCCUGGAGCCUGGGUCACUACCUCGCUGCGGUUGGUAGUGGCGAUAGAGCAGUAGGAGAGCGGUCAGCAGCAGGAGCUUCUCGUGCCAGGCUGGAGGACUAGAAGGAAGAGGCACUGCCACAUGCUGGAGGCUGGAACCUGUGCCACCAUGGCUCGCCUCGCUGUGGUUGGUGGUGACGUCGGAGACUGCAGCUCAGCCACAGUGGUAGAAAUGUGAUGGGGUAGCUUCCAAGUAAGGGAUGGUUUUCCUCUUCUCGGACUCCAGACUCUAGAAGGCGAUUUUCUCCGCACGAGCUGGAUUGCACGGUAGGGCCUCCACACCCACUGUGAUUUCCCGGCCUGCCCUCAUGCUUUGUGUUGCGAAGACCACCUGGGACUACCGGGCAGGGAGUAGUAUGCACCAUGGGGGAAGUGGGAGACAGGGCACUGUGGGUGGAGGUGUCAGGAAUGGGAACCAGCCCUUGAGUGGGGAGGGCUGGCUGGGUCUGAGUUUUUCCUACUCAGGCUCCCGGAGGAGGGCAGCCUUGGUGGGUCCAGCAAUGCCUGGCCAGCUGGACUUGGCCAGGGGCCGGUUUCAGUGAAGGCACUCACUCCCACCCCAGGCCCCAGUUCCUGGCCAGCUUUUGCCAGAAGGAGAGGUUGGACUUUGGAAGGUGGGUAUGAGUGCCUUCAAUGAAACUGAUCCCUGACACCCAGUCACCAGCAUAACGAGGUGAGGCUCUAAUGGUUCCAAUCCCUGAGUCCUGUUUUGGGCUUUUCCGGCUUUGCUUGCCGAGCUGCUCCAAGCCAGGCUGAAGGAGGAGAAGGAGUCGCCGCCUGUGGUACGGUGGAGCAGAUGACGUGGCUCUGCAGCUUGCCUCAUGCAGUUGGUGAUGGAGAUGGAAACCGCAGCUCUACUGGAGAGAGUAUUGUCAUCUGCAUGGCAAAGGGUUCAUCACCACAUCUUUGCAAGAGGAAAAAGAAGGGGGAAGAAUCAUGUGUAUAAUGUUGUAAGGCAAACAUUCACAACCAAAAACAAGGUUUUAUUAACUUUCGCCUUUAAGAAACUGCAGUGUUUAGCCCUCUUUGAUUCCUAGUAUUAUUGCCUUUGGUAUGAACUCUUCUAUUAAACUGAUCACUCUAGAAGUUUAUGCAUUUUGUAUCAUUUUUCAAGCCAACAGAAAUGUGUAAUGCGUAUAAUUCUGACACUUUAGUUAUUUUUAAGGCUAUGAGCAUGUAAGAUACUGUUGGUAUAUGGAAGAAUAUGUAUAAAUACCACUAGGUAGCUUAUUUUGAAGAGCUAGUAUCUAAAUUUUUGUCCAGAGUAGAUUGGUUGCAGUUUCUUAGGUGUGUUUCUUAAUACGUUGCCUCAAUGUUUUAAAGCAUGUAGAAAUUUGAAUACAGUUUAACUUCAUAUAGUCCUUUGUUUAUAGAUUUAAUAUUUCUAAAGACUAAAGACAUCACAGCUCCCUUUAAGAUUCAGUAAUAUUAAUAAAAUUUUAGAAAUAUAGGGUUAGAAUCCAACAAAUUCAGAGGAAAAUUGUUAAAUUCUAUAGCUGUAGAGCAGGAAUGAAACCCAGGUUCUAAGCUCUAAGGGGGCCAUGAGGUACCAUACAGGUGCAUCAGUGACUGGGCAUAGAUUCAGCAAAAUUACAGGAUGGUUGAGAGAGUGAGCUGUGGAGCCAAACUCUAUGUAACAUGAAUUUUUAAACUGCCUGGUGCCUCAGUUUAUCCAUCUUUACAGUGGGGACUGUAGUAAGUUUUUCUUUUUCUGCUCAGUUGUCUGUCUUGUUGCCACUGUUCCCUAGUCUGUCUUGUUGCCACUCAGUGCCCACAUGAGAGGAUCUAAGGUAAUUUCUGACAGCCUGGGACUCCUUAAAGAAAAACAGAAGGUGCUACAAAACCCAUUUUAGGAGAAACCUCUGUUGUCCUCAUGGAACCCCAAGAACUUCAGGCAGACAGGUCUCUAUCAAAAUCUAAGGCUCUCCUUUGUUUUGUUUUGUGUUAUCUGACCUUUUAGGUUUGGGUGGGCAUCAGAAAUCAGUCGGGGAGAGAGAUCUAAAGAAAGUUGUGGAUAUGAAGAUGUAUUUAUGGUAAGAAAAGUUAUGAAGGAAAGAAAUGUUAUAUGAGAGAGGAUUUUGUAUGGCAAAUUCUUGUCCUAAAGUAGAAUGACUAAUUAUGAAAGGGGGAAAUACAGGAAAAGUCAGAAAGUUCAUGUCAUAGAUGGUCUGUGGAAGUUGUGUUAGGGUUCAUAAAAUGAGAAAGAAAAACUUACAACUGCUAGAUCUUUUCCUGUCUAGAAAUUUGUGUAUGUGAUGGAUAUGUAAAGGAGCCCUAAUUACUUGGCUUAGAAGAAAAGGAAGGCUUUUAAAUAUUUUGUCAGAAAAAUAGAAUCUCCAAUGCCUUUUAUUUCACAUGACUUCAGUAAUCUUUGGGAAAUAAAGACAGUGUUAAAAUCAUUGGUAAAAAAAUCAUCAAAAUUUAUCCAUUUUGUCUAAUUUAAGUCAGAGGUUAAAUUUUAGAAGUGCUUUAACGUCGUAAAUUGAUUGACUUUGGAAAAUUGUUCUGUUUACCUGGUUUGGAGCUGUUCAACUUCUAGGUAAGGCCUGGGGACAGGUGGAGUUAGCCAUGUCUCCUAGCUAUGCUGGAAAGAGUCAGACUUUACCUACAGUUCUGUCUUGUAUCCUAUACACUGCACCUGGUACGUUAUUAAAACUUCCUGCUGCUUCUAAUCUGAGUUCCACUUAAAAUUUUUCCAUCACUUGAAUACUAUCCCCUCUACUAAAUUUUUCCCCAAUUAAAUACUUAGAAUCAUUUUUGCCCACUUGACCCAAGCAUUAGUGAUAUAUCUUUAAAAUACUUAUAAUGUGUCACAAUAUAUUUAGCAAAUGUAGCGAAUGGCAUUUUUACUUUUGUUAGCAUUUACAUAGCAUUUAUGUAGCAAUGCUAUCUCAAGUAUUUUUGGUCAUUUGAAUGUUAGAUAAUAUGCUUUUCCUUUGUUUCUGUGUAAAUAAAUAGGAGAUAUUCAAUAAAUAGUAUCAAUUAAUGUUUCACUUCUAGAAUAUACUUAUUAGGAUUAUUUUUCAACACUACAUCGUAUUUACUUGUUGGCUACAUAAUAAGUUAGAAAUAAUAUUUUGGAUUAACUGUGUGACUCAUGAGAGGGAGUUUGUGCAAUUACAAUCUUUACAAAUUUUUACUUGAUUUUCAAGACUUACACUACAACUGUUAGAACAAGGUAAUAAAUAAGCAUAUCUAUUAAUAUCAACUCUUGGCUUGACCCAAUGAUAGUGUAGGAAUUAACAUAAUUUUUCCUACUAAAGGUAUUGGAUUUGUUUUGAGAGACUGCAGUUUAAAAUCGACAUAGAAAGUUUAAAAAUUGUUAAAUUUUUAAAAUGCCUUUGAAAUUGUAUUAUAGAAAAAUAAAUAUCCUGGUUUAGAUUGGUAGGUUUUUUUUUAAAUAAGGACUAGACCAAGAGAAAGGGAGAGUAGUGAUAAAUGUCCAGGUUUUUAAGUUGAAAAGUGAAAAUCAGUGUAUUACAACGGAUGGAUUUGAUGUCAAAUUACAGAUGCUGAAAACAUUGUAUGUAAUCUACUAGCCAGGGUAAUUAUACAAGGCAAAGAAAUGAAAGGCAUCCAAAUAGGAAAGGAAGGGGUGAGAUUGUCUCUGUUUUCUGAAAAUGUAAUCCUAAUGUAAAGAAAAUCUUAGACUCCACCAAAAAAACCUGUUAAAGCUGAUAAACACAUUCAAUAAAGUUGAGAGUUACAAAAUUAACAUACAAAUAGUAUUCUUGUUUCUAAACACCCAUGACAAACUAUCUGAAAAAUAAAUUAAUAAAGUAAUUACAUUUAUAGUAGCAUCAAAACAAAUAUAUAAGUAAAUAAAAUACUAAGGAGUAAUUUUAAUGAAGGGUGUGAAAGAUGUGUAUACUGAAAAUUAUAGCACAUUGAUGAAAGAAUUUGGAAGUGACAAAUAGAAAAAUAUCCUAUAUUUAUGAAUUCAAAAAAUAAUAUUGUCAAAAUCUCAGUGCUACCCCAAACAAUCUACAGAUCUGAUAUUUGAUAAAGCAAACAAAACAUAAAGUGGGGAAAGGACACUCUUCAAUAUAUGGUGCUGAGAUAAUUGGCAAGCAACAUGCAGAAAAAUGAAACAGUUCUUCAAAAGGUUAAGUAUAGAAUUACCACGUGACUCAGUAAUUCACUCCUAUGUGUACACUAAAAAAAUUAAAACAAACGUCUACACAAAAAGUAGCAUACAAGUAUUUAUAGCAACAAAAAGUAGGAAACAACAGAAAUGUUCAUCAAUUGAGGAGUAGAGUAAUAAAAUGUGGCCUGUCCAUAAAAUAUAUUACUUGGCAAUGAAAAAGAAAAAGGUAUUAAUACAUGCUCCAAAAAGGAUAAACAUUGAAAACAUGGUAAGUGAAAGUAGUGAGUCGCACGUAACUAUAUAUUAUUAUGAUUCCGCUUACAUGAAAUGUCCAGGAUGGGCAAAUCCUUCCAGAAUAGGCAAAUCCUUAGUUAGGAAGUAGAUGGAUGGUUGCCUAAGGCUGGGAGGGGUUUAAAGAAAGAGUGGGGAAAAUGAGGAAAGAUUGCUAAUGGGUGCAAGGUUUCUUUUAAGGAGCAUAA